UACGUAGGGGGCAAGCGUUGUCCGGAAUUAUUGGGCGUAAAGAGCUCGUAGGCGGUUUGUCGCGUCUGCCGUGAAAGUCCGGGGCUCAACUCCGGAUCUGCGGUGGGUACGGGCAGACUAGAGUGUGGUAGGGGAGACUGGAAUUCCUGGUGUAGCGGUGAAAUGCGCAGAUAUCAGGAGGAACACCGAUGGCGAAGGCAGGUCUCUGGGCCACUACUGACGCUGAGAAGCGAAAGCAUGGGGAGCGAACAGG
This 253-nucleotide ribosomal RNA is filed under the name uncultured bacterium. RNAcentral's name for it is "partial 16S ribosomal RNA". It matches the Rfam family "Bacterial small subunit ribosomal RNA", at positions 524 to 776 of the family's 1533-position model. The record is from RNAcentral.